AUACGUAGGGGGCGAGCGUUGUCCGGAUUUACUGGGCGUAAAGGGUGAGUAGGCGGUUAUAUGUGUCAGAUGUAAAAGGCUAUGGCUUAACCAUAGUUAGCAUUUGAAGCUGUAUGACUUGAGUGCAGGAGAGGUAAGUGGAAUUCCUAGUGUAGCGGUGAAAUGCGUAGAUAUUAGGAGGAACACCAGUGGCGAAGGCGACUUACUGGACUGUAACUGACGCUGAGUCACGAAAGCGUGGGUAGCAAACAGGAUUAGAUACCCUGGUAGUCCACGCUGUAAACGAUGAGUGCUAGGUGUUGGCCAGCGAUGGUCAGUGCCGCAGUAAACACAUUAAGCACUCCGCCUGGGGAGUACGGUCGCAAGACUGAAACUCAAAUGAAUUGACGGGG
This 392-nucleotide ribosomal RNA is filed under the name uncultured bacterium. RNAcentral describes it as "partial 16S ribosomal RNA". It matches the Rfam family "Bacterial small subunit ribosomal RNA", at positions 523 to 918 of the family's 1533-position model. The record is from RNAcentral.